UUCCGCGUGUAUACCAGAAGUAACAACUUCACAGAAAUCAUCCGAAGCGAUUACGGCGAUUGGCUGGAAUCGCUCAAUCUAGACACGAUGUCCAAUUUUCGUUCCAACAGUUGUGUACACAAAAUAUUCAGGACACUUUUCGUCGCUACAAAACGGGUCAAGUGACUGUAAUAAUUGUCUCACGGUAAUUGGCAGUGUCUUUUUCCAUUAAUUCGAACGGCGAGCGCAUGGUAUACUCGGAAUGGCCAAAACUCGUUAAAUGUGGGAUAGCGUAUGCCGCAUCAAAUUAUCAUGAGAUCGAAGCCCUCGGGCUCUUCCUCUUCUAGGAAUGCGGCGCGUACCUACCUCGGACAAAGCGAUUGGUGUAGAAUAGCAGCGUACAGCCGUCACAACUGCUUUCGUUCACUUCGAAGAAAUUCUCACAACGAUAACUUUGACGCAGCAUCUCGUGCAACAAUGAAAACUCUGGUCUAUCUAUCUACUCUUAACUGUGAUUGCCAAUGGGCGAAACACCGACAUACUUGCCAGCACAGACCCUGAAGAGUAAAAUAAUUUCAAGGAUAAUUGGAACUCAAUAUUGUUCUGAGAAGAAACCUGCAGCUCAACAAGUGAAUCGUUACCGCUGCAAUCCGAAUCAGCCGGUUUUCGUAUCGAAUAUCCCGCAUGCGCAGAUUCGUGCAUCGCAAUAUGACGUAUAUUUGGAAUAUCAAUUUGCAAUAUUACUCAUAAGAUGAAUAUAAUCCCUUGCAGAUCUCCCUCUUGCUCCUGCAUUCGCGAUCGAAGUACAACUUCGAGAACGCGAAUAAUAAUUCAGCCGCGUUAACGAUUCUCCGAAUAUACCUUUUUCACUUCUAUUCACCGUCUUGAAAAUCGAUGGAAUAUCAAAUUCAAUGUGGCGAUGAGCAGGAAACUACCGUACAGCAUGGUCCCUACAGAAAGUAACUUCUUCGCGAUGAGUACAAAGGGACUGUUAGGCAGGCCGCUGAAUAUGAACUCAUAUCAAUUGCAAGCGAACAGAAUGCAAUUAGAGACCUAGCUCGUUAGAAAGCGAAUGUAGCAAAGCUCGAAGCCAAGAGAUAAGCUCACGAAGCGAGUGCCUACCGGGAAGCAAUUUCACGUGUAAGGGAAGAAGCCUGGUGGGAAGUUACUAGAGACGGGCCAUCUACUCCAAUGCAGGAACUCUCGGAAGGAUCGCUCGUGAAGUAAUCUAAUGCGAGUAACUUUUCACAUAGCAACAACUAUCGAGAAGGAAAGUUGCACGCUACAAUCUAUUUC
This 1275-nucleotide unclassified non-coding RNA is filed under the name Athalia rosae (coleseed sawfly). RNAcentral's name for it is "misc RNA ENSAEAG00005003777.1". The record is from RNAcentral. Lineage: Eukaryota; Metazoa; Arthropoda; Insecta; Hymenoptera; Athaliidae.